Molecule: long non-coding RNA, 328 nt
Filed under: Androctonus crassicauda
Lineage: Eukaryota; Metazoa; Arthropoda; Arachnida; Scorpiones; Buthidae
Source: RNAcentral
CUGGGGUUUCUCGGGUCAUCUGUUGCUGCUUCAUGUUCUCUCCUAUCUCUUCCUUCGAUGUCGUCCUGCCUCUCUCUUCCUUGUUCACUUGUGGUUGUCGGUCCUGGUUUUCGUUUUGUCUCUUCCAGAAUCUUAUCCACUGUUUUCCUUGUGUACCCGUGCUUUUUUACUGUCUCUUUUGUUCUGCCGAAUUCUAUGUUGAAGAGGUUUUCUGUGCUGCAGUGCGUUGGGGCUCUUGAACGUAUGACCUGAUAGCUGCCUUUUUGUGCGUCCACCUAUCUCUCGACCACUUGGGUGUGGGGGCUUCUAUGUUGGUGGGCGUUCGGUG